AUCAAGUUAGUUUAUUUAAAACAUCAAUUUGUGGAAUUGAAAAUAAAAAGAAUUUUUACUUGAUC
RNAcentral lists this transfer RNA (65 nucleotides) under Charonia lampas. RNAcentral describes it as "tRNA-His". The record is from RNAcentral. Lineage: Eukaryota; Metazoa; Mollusca; Gastropoda; Littorinimorpha; Ranellidae.